This 1114-nucleotide ribosomal RNA is filed under the name Xanthomonas vesicatoria. RNAcentral describes it as "bacterial LSU rRNA". It matches the Rfam family "Bacterial large subunit ribosomal RNA", at positions 1 to 1167 of the family's 2925-position model. The record is from RNAcentral. Lineage: Bacteria; Pseudomonadati; Pseudomonadota; Gammaproteobacteria; Lysobacterales; Lysobacteraceae.
GUUAUAUGGUCAAGCGAAUAAGCGCACACGGUGGAUGCCUAGGCGGUCAGAGGCGAUGAAGGACGUGGUAGCCUGCGAAAAGUGUCGGGGAGCUGGCAACAAGCUUUGAUCCGGCAAUAUCCGAAUGGGGAAACCCACUGCUUCGGCAGUAUCCUGCAGUGAAUUCAUAGCUGCUGGAAGCGAACUCGGUGAACUGAAAUAUCUAAGUAACCGGAGGAAAAGAAAUCAACCGAGAUUCCCUAAGUAGUGACGAGCGAACGGGGAACAGCCCUUAAGCUGGAAUGGCUUUAGAAAAACAAUCUGGAAAGAUUGGCCAUAGAAGGUGAUAGCCCUGUAUUUAAAAGGGCCACUCCAGUGAAGACGAGUAGGGCGGGGCACGUGAAACCCUGUCUGAAUAUGGGGGGACCAUCCUCCAAGGCUAAAUACUCCUGACCGACCGAUAGUGAACCAGUACCGUGAGGGAAAGGCGAAAAGAACCCCGGAGAGGGGAGUGAAAUAGAUCCUGAAACCGUGUGCGUACAAGCAGUAGGAGCUCGCAAGAGUGACUGCGUACCUUUUGUAUAAUGGGUCAGCGACUUACUGUUCGUGGCAAGCUUAACCGUAUAGGGGAGGCGAAGGGAAACCGAGUCUGAUAAGGGCGCAUAGUCGCGGGCAGUAGACCCGAAACCGGGUGAUCUAGUCAUGGCCAGGGUGAAGGUGCCGUAACAGGUACUGGAGGCCCGAACCCACGUCUGUUGCAAAAGACGGGGAUGAGCUGUGAUUAGGAGUGAAAAGCUAAUCGAACCCGGAGAUAGCUGGUUCUCCUCGAAAGCUAUUUAGGUAGCGCCUCGGACGAAUACUACUGGGGGUAGAGCACUGUUAUGGCUAGGGGGUCAUCGCGACUUACCAAACCAUUGCAAACUCCGAAUACCAGUACGUACUAUCCGGGAGACACACGGCGGGUGCUAACGUCCGUCGUGAAAAGGGAAACAACCCAGACCCACAGCUAAGGUCCCAAAUUCACUGCUAAGUGGAAAACGAUGUGGAAAGGCACAGACAGCCAGGAGGUUGGCUUAGAAGCAGCCACCCUUUAAAGAAAGCGUAAUAGCUCACUGGUCGAGUCGGUCUGCGCGGA